UAAGUAGCCUAAAUGAUCGCUGGAUAUUUAUAGUAUCUGGAGGAAAGUCCGAACACCGCAAGGCAGGACGCUUCAUAACGUGAAGUCGUGGUGACGCGAAGGAAAGUGCAGCAGAAAAUAUACCGCCUAAUGGUUUAUGACUUAUUGGGUAAGGGUGAAAAGGUGCGGUAAGAGCGCACCAGUUUUUCAGGUGACUGAAGAGCUUGGCAAACCCCGUCCGGUGAAAGACCAAAUAGAGGAGUGUUUGAAGGCAGCCUGCCUAAGCUCCCGGGUAGGUCGCAAGAGAUAGAUAGUAAUAUAUAUCCUCAAGAUGAAUGAUCAUUACUAACCAAGGAGUAAUCCUUUUUUAGCACAAAAUUCGGCUUAUUGGCUGCUUAGACC
This 381-nucleotide RNase P RNA is filed under the name Desulfobacterales bacterium. RNAcentral's name for it is "RNase P RNA component class A". It matches the Rfam family "Bacterial RNase P class A". Rfam says of the family: Ribonuclease P (RNase P) is a ubiquitous endoribonuclease, found in archaea, bacteria and eukarya as well as chloroplasts and mitochondria. Its best characterised activity is the generation of mature 5'-ends of tRNAs by cleaving the 5'-leader elements of precursor-tRNAs. The record is from RNAcentral. Lineage: Bacteria; Pseudomonadati; Thermodesulfobacteriota; Desulfobacteria; Desulfobacterales.